AAAAGCAUUUUCCAGCUCUGAGUCAUGAAUGCAUCAAUUUUUUGUUUGUCAACGCACUAGGAUUCUCUCAGAUUAUCCGGGACAAUGUCUGAUACCCUCUAACCCAUUCGCGCGAAAAAGUACUUGUGUUUUAUUUUCAACACUCUAAGUCGCACUGUUUAGAGUCCUAAAUACAUGCAUGACAGCAUAACUUUGACGGAGAUGAUUCUGAAGGGAAGUUACGUCAGUUGUUGCUGCCGGCGAAAAUGUUGGCGACAGAAUGUUGAAAAGGACGACAGGAAAGGACAGUUCAUCUUUUGGGAUGACAUUCAUGGAAAAUCCAGGGAAAACUGUCCGAAAAGGAUAUGCUGGCUUGCAGAAGGGAUAAAAUCUGAUGCCCGUUGUUGAGGAGUGUGUAUUUUAGACUAAAUAUUUUAUCCUUGAAAAGUUUAAGAAUAGGAAAAUUUUCGACGCAUAGCUGAGAUAAAUGAGGGAGGAUAUCAUCUCCUGCCAAAACUAAAUCCUUUCUAAAUCAUAUCCUUAAAUUAGGGAACUCGGCUAUGAAAAGUAAUGAAAAUGUUAUUUGUUAAUACCCGACCAGGGUAAGGAGAUACCAAAAUACCUCAAGGAGAACAAAAUGGACAGGGGUCUCAGAACUGCUGAAUUUGCCCCCCACCUCCAAUCGAAUAGAAUUGAAACCGAGAACUUCCAUUGAUUCUACGU
Long non-coding RNA from Hermetia illucens (black soldier fly), 702 nucleotides. RefSeq lists it as uncharacterized. The transcript is spliced from 3 exons. The record is from RefSeq and is a predicted model, not a curated record. NCBI's taxonomy places the organism in Eukaryota, Metazoa, Arthropoda, Insecta, Diptera, Stratiomyidae.